This is a regulatory RNA element of Campylobacter lari RM2100, 118 nucleotides long. It matches the Rfam family "Ribosomal S15 leader". From Rfam's summary of the family: The E. coli Ribosomal S15 gene 5' UTR can form two alternative structures. One that is a series of three hairpins, The other includes a pseudoknot. The record is from Rfam. NCBI's taxonomy places the organism in Bacteria, Pseudomonadati, Campylobacterota, Epsilonproteobacteria, Campylobacterales, Campylobacteraceae.
UCUUUUUGGUUUUUUAGUUAUAAUUGCACUUUUUAUUUUAAUACCGCUCAGGAGGUCUAUUAUGGCUUUAGAUUCGGCUAAAAAAGCAGAAAUAGUUGCAAAAUUUGCUAGAAAAGAA